CUGGGCUUGUUGAGACCAUCUUCACCAUUCACCACAAGAGCGAGUAGAGCCCAAGCUCAGGAACUCACCUUGGGUGCAGGCACUGCUGUGCUUCCAGAAAACAUCCCCUGUACAAAGAGAGAUGACAAGGCCUGCCAAAGCCAGGGAUUGAACCAGGGACCUUUACAGCUUCAGUUUAACACUCUCCCAACUGAACUACUUUGGCACCUGUGUGAAAGCAUUUUGGUCAGUUGCUUCUCUGUCUGGGAUGUUUUUGUCAGCAGUUGCAGACAAAAAGGACAGGAAAACAAACGGCUGCUCCACACCCCCACCGGAGGAACCCGGCACCUUUAGCUGUGCCCCAUAGCUCCCAUGGAGUCACUGACUUGGCUUCCUUCGCACUCUAGAGACAGGAGCAGAACCAGGGCUAUGGCUGAUCUAUGGGGCAUCAGGUGAGUGCCAGAGGCUUCAGGUGCUGAGAGUUUGCCUGACCUCUCAGGGUCACAGUGUGAGGUGAUGCCCCAGGGAUCUCUAUGAAAGGAGCAGAACAGGAUUUACUUGG
Long non-coding RNA from Gopherus flavomarginatus (Mexican gopher tortoise), 541 nucleotides. RefSeq lists it as uncharacterized. The record is from RefSeq and is a predicted model, not a curated record. NCBI's taxonomy places the organism in Eukaryota, Metazoa, Chordata, Testudines, Testudinidae. The transcript has 3 exons.